AUUGAACGCUGGCGGCAUGCCUAACACAUGCAAGUCGAACGGCAGCACGGCAGUAGCAAUACUGUGGGUGGCGAGUGGCGGACGGGUGAGGAAUACGUCGGAAUCUGCCCAGUCGUGGGGGAUAACUAGCCGAAAGGUUAGCUAAUACCGCAUACGACCGAGAGGUGAAAGCGGGGGACCGCAAGGCCUCGCGCGAUUGGAUGAGCCGACGUCGGAUUAGCUAGUUGGAGGGGUAAAGGCCCACCAAGGCGACGAUCCGUAGCUGGUCUGAGAGGAUGAUCAGCCACACUGGAACUGAGGCACGGUCCAGACUCCUACGGGAGGCAGCAGUGGGAAUAUUGGACAAUGGGCGCAAGCCUGAUCCAGCAAUGCCGCGUGUGUGAAGAAGGCCUCGGUUGUAAGCACUUUAUUCAGGAACGAAAGACG
RNAcentral lists this ribosomal RNA (426 nucleotides) under uncultured bacterium. RNAcentral describes it as "bacterial SSU rRNA". It matches the Rfam family "Bacterial small subunit ribosomal RNA", at positions 29 to 454 of the family's 1533-position model. The record is from RNAcentral.